This 879-nucleotide ribosomal RNA is filed under the name Thelebolales sp. RNAcentral's name for it is "SSU rRNA". It matches the Rfam family "Eukaryotic small subunit ribosomal RNA", at positions 54 to 948 of the family's 1831-position model. The record is from RNAcentral. Lineage: Eukaryota; Fungi; Ascomycota; Leotiomycetes; Thelebolales.
CAUGUCUAGUAUAGCAUUAUACCGUGAAACUGCGAAUGGCUCAUUAAAUCAGUUAUCGUUUAUUUGAUAGUACCUUACUACUUGGAUAACCGUGGUAAUUCUAGAGCUAAUACAUGCUGAAAACCCCAACUUCGGGAGGGGUGUAUUUAUUAGAUAAAAAACCAACGCCCUUCGGGGCUUCUUGGUGAUUCAUGAUAACUUUACGGAUCGCAUGGCCUUGCGCUGGCGACGGUUCAUUCAAAUUUCUGCCCUAUCAACUUUCGAUGGUAAGGUAUUGGCUUACCAUGGUUUCAACGGGUAACGGGGAAUUAGGGUUCGAUUCCGGAGAGGGAGCCUGAGAAACGGCUACCACAUCCAAGGAAGGCAGCAGGCGCGCAAAUUACCCAAUCCCGACACGGGGAGGUAGUGACAAUAAAUACUGAUACAGGGCUCUUUUGGGUCUUGUAAUUGGAAUGAGUACAAUUUAAACCUCUUAACGAGGAACAAUUGGAGGGCAAGUCUGGUGCCAGCAGCCGCGGUAAUUCCAGCUCCAAUAGCGUAUAUUAAAGUUGUUGCAGUUAAAAAGCUCGUAGUUGAAACUUGGGUCUGGCUGGCGGGUCCGCCUCACCGCGUGUACUUGUCCGGCCGGGCCUUCCUUCUGGAGAACCUCAUGCCCUUUACUGGGCGUGUUGGGGACCAGGACUUUUACUUUGAAAAAAUUAGAGUGUUCAAAGCAGGCCUUUGCUCGAAUACGUUAGCAUGGAAUAAUAGAAUAGGACGUGCGGUCCUAUUUUGUUGGUUUCUAGGACCGCCGUAAUGAUUAAUAGGGACAGUCGGGGGCAUCAGUAUUCAAUUGUCAGAGGUGAAAUUCUUGGAUUUAUUGAAGACUAACUACUGCGA